CUUUUCAGGUUUUCGACUUGCCGGGUGUACAUUUUUAUAUGUUUAUCCCUAAUUUUUGCCCGAACCCUUUUGGUUCGUCGGGAUGCCCUUACUUUUGCCUAGGUACGUCGACCUAGCGGGUCUCUUUUAUGCGUAGUAUUUUUUGACUAUGUCUGCGUUCACGGGAUGUGGGAAGUCUUCGCCGUCCAUCGUAGCAAGUAUCAUGGCUCCACCAGAGAAUACCUUCUUAACUACAAAUGGCCCUUCGUAUGUGGGAGUCCAU
RNAcentral lists this long non-coding RNA (262 nucleotides) under Lathyrus oleraceus (garden pea). RNAcentral's name for it is "Pisum sativum (pea) long non-coding RNA (PSAT_LNC037408)". Lineage: Eukaryota; Viridiplantae; Streptophyta; Magnoliopsida; Fabales; Fabaceae. The record is from RNAcentral.